RNAcentral lists this microRNA precursor (253 nucleotides) under Populus trichocarpa (black cottonwood). RNAcentral's name for it is "miR7838 stem-loop (ptc-MIR7838)". The record is from miRBase by way of RNAcentral. Lineage: Eukaryota; Viridiplantae; Streptophyta; Magnoliopsida; Malpighiales; Salicaceae.
AUAUGAGGAAUUCCUCCUACCCAACACGUGGCAAUCUCUUGGACUGUCAUUUGUUGGACAACAUUUGUUAUUUUAGAAAUAUAUUUGAUAUCAAAAUCAUACAUGUAUAAUAAAAAGGGUAAGUUUCUGUUUACCAAAAAGAUUAUGGCAAAACAAAUGGUUUUUGUUGACAAAAAAUAAAAAGCAAUUAAUGCUACCCAUGCAUGGUGGGUUGAGAGACUGACAUGUGCUGGGUAGGAGGAAUUCCUACUAC